AUUGAACGCUGGCGGCAGGCCUAACACAUGCAAGUCGAACGGCAGCACAGAAGAGCUUGCUCUCUGGGUGGCGAGUGGCGGACGGGUGAGUAAUGUCUGGGAAACUGCCCGAUGGAGGGGGAUAACUACUGGAAACGGUAGCUAAUACCGCAUAACGUCGCAAGACCAAAGUGGGGGACCUUCGGGCCUCACACCAUCGGAUGUGCCCAGAUGGGAUUAGCUAGUAGGUGGGGUAAUGGCUCACCUAGGCGACGAUCCCUAGCUGGUCUGAGAGGAUGACCAGCCACACUGGAACUGAGACACGGUCCAGACUCCUACGGGAGGCAACAGUGGGGAAUAUUGCACAAUGGGCGCAAGCCUGAUGCAGCCAUGCCGCGUGUAUGAAGAAGGCCUUCGGGUUGUAAAGUACUUUCAGCGGGGAGGAAGGCGGUGAGGUUAAUAACCUUGCCGAUUGACGUUACCCGCAGAAGAAGCACCGGCUAACUCCGUGCCAGCAGCCGCGGUAA
Molecule: ribosomal RNA, 506 nt
Filed under: uncultured bacterium
Lineage: Bacteria
Description: partial 16S ribosomal RNA
Rfam family: Bacterial small subunit ribosomal RNA
Source: RNAcentral